UACGAAGGGGGCUAGCGUUGCUCGGAAUCACUGGGCGUAAAGCGCACGUAGGCGGGUCGUUAAGUCAGGGGUGAAAUCCUGGAGCUCAACUCCAGAACUGCCCUUGAUACUGGCGAUCUCGAGUUCGGGAGAGGUGAGUGGAACUGCGAGUGUAGAGGUGAAAUUCGUAGAUAUUCGCAAGAACACCAGUGGCGAAGGCGGCUCACUGGCCCGGUACUGACGCUGAGGUGCGAAAGCGUGGGGAGCAAACAGG
RNAcentral lists this ribosomal RNA (253 nucleotides) under uncultured bacterium. RNAcentral's name for it is "partial 16S ribosomal RNA". It matches the Rfam family "Bacterial small subunit ribosomal RNA", at positions 524 to 776 of the family's 1533-position model. The record is from RNAcentral.